Long non-coding RNA from Grus americana (Whooping crane), 1571 nucleotides. RefSeq lists it as uncharacterized. NCBI's taxonomy places the organism in Eukaryota, Metazoa, Chordata, Aves, Gruiformes, Gruidae. The transcript is spliced from 3 exons. The record is from RefSeq and is a predicted model, not a curated record.
GGGGAAGCACCUACGGCACCCCUGCGAGACUGGACCUGCGAAAAGCCCCACCACGAUGGGCAGAGGAGGAGCUGGAAAAGUUUGACUCAGCCCUGGCAAGAUCUUCACAGUCUAUGGCCAUAAAGCACAGCCAAAACCGAGCUUAUUCAGCUGAGGACCUGGGAACGAUGGAGACCAAGAGACAGCCCAGGACUAGCGGAGAUGGAGCAGGAUGGAGAAAGCAGGAUUAUCGCCUGGGAUUGCAGCUUGAUCAAAUCAAGGCAAAACGGGGUCUGCACAAACACGGAUGUAUAAAAAGAUGGCAGAAGAGCAUCUGGGGCUUCUCGUACCAAGAAGCUUCCCACUGAGGCAAACACAAACCCUAUCCCACGGUCCAAAAUGCUGCCAGAUCCUCGGAGAAGGUGAUGAUCCCCCUGAGCUGCUGCUGCAAACAUCCCGGGUUUCCAGGCGGACACAGAACGUGCAGGACCAAGCCUCCUGCAGUCAUGGCCAGCCCCGCCACGAGGUGCUUUUAUUUCUCCAUUCCAUGGUUAAACCCAGAUUUUCUCUGUUCUUGCUUGUCACUUUUAUUAGUGUUUCUGCUCCUUUAUUUAUAACUGCAGCCUCGUCUCUCACACCCACGGACACACGUGUCAGCAAGACGCCUCUGUGCCGGGGGCUGAUCAUCCUGGGGAUGCGCCUCAAUCUGCCACUGCGUCCCUGAUCGUCCCUGGGGGCUGAGAAGUUUAGGCAGCAAUGCCAUAAAGCCUUUAACGUCACGCCAGUGUCACCUAGCCGUGGCUUCCCAAGCACGGCAAUAACUCCGAGUGCUUUUCCGCUCUGCCAAGUAACCUGAGUGACUUUCAGCAUCCCCCUCGCUGUCUCCCUGCGGUUGGGCUCCAGCAUACGUACACGCUGUCGGUCAUGCCUGGACUUUAUGAUUUUGCAGCCUGGAGCUGCUCCCCUCCAGGGUGAGCACUUCGCUGGCAGCACCCAGGUGGGUCCUCCUGUAUUUUAGGAGCAUCCAGCCACCGCGGCUCCUGGUGCUGGCUGGGACCGAGCAAAACUCAGUGCAUUGGUGCUGAGUGGUGGAGCUCACUGCAGGGCUGGGGCUGUUGCUGCUGGCCCCCGUGGUGCAGCAUCGGCUCGGUAGCAUGGGAGAGUUUCCUUUAUUAGCCAGCGCACUGAACUUCCCUGUACCCCCCGUGAAGUUCCCAUGAAUCGGAGUGAAAUCAGGGUUUGGCUCCGCGUCAGCCCCUGCACCGCUCCUGGGAGAGAGAAGGGCCUGGGUCUGGUCCCAGCGGAGGGGAUGGAGGCAGCAUCACCAGCACACCUUCACCCUCCCGCCGUGCCGACCGGGGCCGCGGCACCCACCAGCUCUGCAGAUCUGAGCGUGGACAUGGCACCUGGCCCUUUCUCCAGAGAAGGGAAUUUUUUUUUUAAUCAAAACAAAACCAAAAUCCCAACCCCAAACAUGUUUUUAAGGAGAAACAAAGAUUAGAAAUACUGUAAGCGGUGGAGACAAAGCACCAAAAAUAGCAUCCAAAGUUUCCUCUGUGCACUCUCCCUGCAGGCAGCCUGCACUAUAUUUG